UUAGAGUUUGAUCAUGGCUCAGAGCGAACGCUGGCGGCAGGCUUAACACAUGCAAGUCGAGCGGGCGUAGCAAUACGUCAGCGGCAGACGGGUGAGUAACGCGUGGGAACGUACCUUUUGGUUCGGAACAACCCAGGGAAACUUGGGCUAAUACCGGAUAAGCCCUUACGGGGAAAGAUUUAUCGCCGAAAGAUCGGCCCGCGUCUGAUUAGCUAGUUGGUGAGGUAAUGGCUCACCAAGGCGACGAUCAGUAGCUGGUCUGAGAGGAUGAUCAGCCACAUUGGGACUGAGACACGGCCCAAACUCCUACGGGAGGCAGCAGUGGGGAAUAUUGGACAAUGGGGGCAACCCUGAUCCAGCCAUGCCGCGUGAGUGAUGAAGGCCCUAGGGUUGUAAAGCUCUUUUGUGCGGGAAGAUAAUGACGGUACCGCAAGAAUAAGCCCCGGCUAACUUCGUGCCAGCAGCCGCGGUAAUACGAAGGGGGCUAGCGUUGCUCGGAAUCACUGGGCGUAAAGGGUGCGUAGGCGGGUCUUUAAGUCAGGGGUGAAAUCCUGGAACUCAACUCCAGAACUGCCUUUGAUACUGAAGAUCUUGAGUCCGGGAGAGGUGAGUGGAACUGCGAGUGUAGAGGUGAAAUUCGUAGAUAUUCGCAAGAACACCAGUGGCGAAGGCGGCUCACUGGCCCGGUACUGACGCUGAGGCACGAAAGCGUGGGGAGCAAACAGGAUUAGAUACCCUGGUAGUCC
RNAcentral lists this ribosomal RNA (746 nucleotides) under uncultured bacterium. RNAcentral's name for it is "bacterial SSU rRNA". It matches the Rfam family "Bacterial small subunit ribosomal RNA", at positions 1 to 796 of the family's 1533-position model. The record is from RNAcentral.